Molecule: ribosomal RNA, 551 nt
Filed under: uncultured fungus
Lineage: Eukaryota; Fungi
Description: eukaryotic LSU rRNA
Rfam family: 5.8S ribosomal RNA (bases 148-301)
Source: RNAcentral
GGGCUGUUGCUGGUUCUCUAGGGAGCAUGUGCACGCCUUGUCAUCUUUAUAUCUCCACCUGUGCACCUUUUGUAGACCUUUCAGGUCUAUGUUGCUUCAUUUACCCCAAUGUAUGUUAAUAGAAUGUUGUGCCUAUAUAAUAUAUACAACUUUCAGCAACGGAUCUCUUGGCUCUCGCAUCGAUGAAGAACGCAGCGAAAUGCGAUAAGUAAUGUGAAUUGCAGAAUUCAGUGAAUCAUCGAAUCUUUGAACGCACCUUGCGCUCCUUGGUAUUCCGAGGAGCAUGCCUGUUUGAGUGUCAUUAAUAUAUAUAUCAACCACCUCUUCUUGAGUGGUUUGGAUGUGGGGGUUUGCUGGCCUCUUAAAAGGGUUCAGCUCUCCUGAAAUGCAUUAGCAGAACAACCUGUUCAUUGGUGUGAUAACUAUCUACGCUAAUUGAAUGUGAAGGGCAGUUCAGCUUUCUAACCGUCUGUGGACAAUUUCAUUAUUAAUGUGACCUCAAAUCAGGUAGGACUACCCGCUGAACUUAAGCAUAUCAAUANGNGGAGGAA